This 603-nucleotide ribosomal RNA is filed under the name Trapezodirus carrodillae. Its description in RNAcentral is "SSU rRNA". It matches the Rfam family "Eukaryotic small subunit ribosomal RNA", at positions 22 to 601 of the family's 1831-position model. Lineage: Eukaryota; Metazoa; Arthropoda; Insecta; Coleoptera; Leiodidae. The record is from RNAcentral.
AGUCAUAUGCUUGUCUCAAAGAUUAAGCCAUGCAUGUCUCAGUACAAGCCAAAUUAAGGUGAAACCGCGAAAGGCUCAUUAAAUCAGUUAUGGUUCCUUAGAUCGUACCCACAUUUACUUGGAUAACUGUGGUAAUUCUAGAGCUAAUACAUGCCAACAGAACUCCGACCGGAGACGGAAGGAGUGCCUUUAUUAGAUCAAAACCAAUCGGUGGCGCGGCCUUGGCCGUGUCAUCGUACAACAUGGUGAAUCUGAAUAACGUUUGCUGAUCGCACGGUCUCGCACCGGCGACGCAUCUUUCAAAUGUCUGCCUUAUCAACUGUCGAUGGUAGGUUCUGCGCCUACCAUGGUUGUAACGGGUAACGGGGAAUCAGGGUUCGAUUCCGGAGAGGGAGCCUGAGAAACGGCUACCACAUCCAAGGAAGGCAGCAGGCGCGCAAAUUACCCACUCCCGGCACGGGGAGGUAGUGACGAAAAAUAACGAUACGGGACUCAUCCGAGGCCCCGUAAUCGGAAUGAGCACACUUUAAAUCCUUUCACGAGGAUCAAUCGGAGGGCAAGUCAGGUGCCAGCAGCCGCGGUAAUUCCUGCUCCGAUAGCGUA